This 433-nucleotide ribosomal RNA is filed under the name uncultured bacterium. Its description in RNAcentral is "partial 16S ribosomal RNA". It matches the Rfam family "Bacterial small subunit ribosomal RNA", at positions 29 to 507 of the family's 1533-position model. The record is from RNAcentral.
AACGAACGCUGGCGGCAUGCCUAACACAUGCAAGUCGAACGAGACCUUCGGGUCUAGUGGCGCACGGGUGCGUAACGCGUGGGAAUCUGCCCUUGGGUUCGGAAUAACAGUUGGAAACGACUGCUAAUACCGGAUGAUGACGUAAGUCCAAAGAUUUAUCGCCCAGGGAUGAGCCCGCGUAGGAUUAGCUAGUUGGUGGGGUAAAGGCCUACCAAGGCGACGAUCCUUAGCUGGUCUGAGAGGAUGAUCAGCCACACUGGGACUGAGACACGGCCCAGACUCCUACGGGAGGGAGCAGUGGGGAAUAUUGGACAAUGGGCGAAAGACUGAUCAAGCAAUGCCGGGUGAGUGAUGAAGGGCGUAGGGUUGUAAAGCUCUUUUACCCGGGAUGAUAAUGACAGUACCGGGAGAAUAAGCCCCGGCUAACUACGUG